UGAAUGGAGGACCGAACCGACUUACGUUGAAAAGUGAGCGGAUGAACUGAGGGUAGCGGAGAAAUUCCAAUCGAACCUGGAGAUAGCUGGUUCUCUCCGAAAUAGCUUUAGGGCUAGCCUCAAGUGAUGAUUAUUGGAGGUAGAGCACUGUUUGGACGAGGGGCCCCUCUCGGGUUACCGAAUUCAGACAAACUCCGAAUGCCAAUUAAUUUAACUUGGGAGUCAGAACAUGGGUGAUAAGGUCCGUGUUCGAAAGGGAAACAGCCCAGACCACCAGCUAAGGUCCCAAAAUAUAUGUUAAGUGGAAAAGGAUGUGGCGUUGCCCAGACAACUAGGAUGUUGGCUUAGAAGCAGCCAUCAUUUAAAGAGUGCGUAAUAGCUCACUAGUCGAGUGACACUGCGCCGAAAAUGUACCGGGGCUAAACAUAUUACCGAAGCUGUGGAUUGUCCUUUGGACAAUGGUAGGAGAGCGUUCUAAGGGCGUUGAAGCAUGAUCGUAAGGACAUGUGGAGCGCUUAGAAGUGAGAAUGCCGGUGUGAGUAGCGAAAGACGGGUGAGAAUCCCGUCCACCGAUUGACUAAGGUUUCCAGAGGAAGGCUCGUCCGCUCUGGGUUAGUCGGGUCCUAAGCUGAGGCCGACAGGCGUAGGCGAUGGAUAACAGGUUGAUAUUCCUGU
RNAcentral lists this ribosomal RNA (675 nucleotides) under Staphylococcus aureus. RNAcentral's name for it is "partial 23S ribosomal RNA". It matches the Rfam family "Bacterial large subunit ribosomal RNA", at positions 763 to 1442 of the family's 2925-position model. The record is from RNAcentral. Lineage: Bacteria; Bacillati; Bacillota; Bacilli; Caryophanales; Staphylococcaceae.